Long non-coding RNA from Aquila chrysaetos chrysaetos, 878 nucleotides. RefSeq lists it as uncharacterized. Lineage: Eukaryota; Metazoa; Chordata; Aves; Accipitriformes; Accipitridae. The record is from RefSeq and is a predicted model, not a curated record. The transcript has 2 exons.
CCCAGAUGACAGGGGGAGAGGGGUGGGGAGCAGCAGCUUUCUGCUAAGCCGCCCUUUCAGGGUGGAGUGUGUUUGUCUGGUUCUGCCAGAUACUGCUGGCUCAGAGGAACUCAUUCCCACCCUCUGCUUAGUUACCUCUUUCAUGUAAGCCUUCCCCUGGUCUGCUGACCACCUUUGGCAAUUCACAUGCCUUACCUACCAGCAGCACUUCUGACGUCAUUACAUGCACCAACACCUUCAACACCACUUCUAAUCCUGCCAGCACCUUGUCUCUUUAUACCCAGUUUCCAACCCACAUUUUCUCUCCUCCCUCCCCACAGGCUCACACCCAGCUUCCACUGCCAAACAGACACCCCAAAUCAGCUCAACUCCUCUGCUGAUGAACUAACUCCAUGCCAAGGGUACAGCCUGGAGAAGAGCACACCUCUGAGUGAUUCCUUGUGCUCUGAAGAUGGCACUGCAGCUGUCGCUCAGCAUUUUGACUGUCUCUAGGAACAUCAGAGCCUGAUGAGAAACCCCAGGGAACAGCCUACAGAGUCAGAGGGAGGGAUAUGGUACGGAAGAGGACGAGGACUCACUGAAGAAGGCUCCAAAAUGUUACAAGACUGAGUGUGUAGAGUUAACUCCUCAGCCUUGACCACAGCCCAUGUGAUGGGCCAGAGUCCCUAAGGUGCUCCUAGGACUGGUUUAGGAGCCUAGAGGCCAGCAUGAUGGGCAGAGGAUUUCCUUCUAUAGCUGCCUGGUGCACAGGCUCCAAGGCCACCAAGCUCUUACCUCCUGGGCGCUCGUGCCUCCCAUCCGUAUGCAGCAACAUGGCGAUGGGCAUGCCCACAUUCUUUGACCUGCCGGCCACCACCACAUUUUUCCCCAGCGUUGGG